AAACUUAAAUGAAUUGACGGGACCCGCACAAGCAGCGGAGCGUGUGGUUUAAUUCGUUGCUACACGAAGAACCUUACCUGGGUUUGACAUAUAGGUUGUAGGGAACUGAAAAGGGACCGACCCUUCGGGGAGCCUAUACAGGUGUUGCAUGGCUGUCGUCAGCUCGUGUCGUGAGAUGUUCGGUUAAGUCCGCUAACGAGCGCAACCCUCGUCGUAUGUUAUAUGUGUCAUACGAGACUGCCGGUAAAAAGCCGGAGGAAGGUGAGGAUGAUGUCAAGUCAGCAUGACCUUUAUAUCCAGGGCUACACACACGCUACAAUGGUCUGUACAAUGGGUAGCCAAGCCGCGAGGCGGAGCCAAUCCUGAAAGCAGGCCUCAGUUCAGAUUGCAGUCUGCAACUCGACUGCAUGAAGCCGGAGUUGCUAGUAACCGCAGGUCAGCAAUACUGCGGUGAAUACGUUCCCGGGUCUU
This 471-nucleotide ribosomal RNA is filed under the name uncultured Anaerolineaceae bacterium. RNAcentral's name for it is "bacterial SSU rRNA". It matches the Rfam family "Bacterial small subunit ribosomal RNA", at positions 897 to 1382 of the family's 1533-position model. Lineage: Bacteria; Bacillati; Chloroflexota; Anaerolineae; Anaerolineales; Anaerolineaceae. The record is from RNAcentral.